GUCUUUCUAGUUUUCUCCUUCUUCUUGGCCAUGGUUGUUGUCUUUCCCUUCUUUAUCUGCUUCAAGGAUGCUGCUGUAAAUAUUUUCAAUUGCUAGAUGGUACAUUAUAGGAGUACAUCCGAUUCAUUCCUUCCUUUAAAUUACAUAUAAACAUUCUCAAAAUAUCUAUGGAGAAGCUCUUUUCCCUAGUACCUGGCCGUAGGCUUCUGCUGUAAAUCUUUUCAAUUGCUGGGAUUAAGGCUUUUGGAGCAGUUCUAUUAGAAUAAAAGAACAUUAUUUUAACAGAAAGCAUUAAUGAGAUUGCUACUUUUCAUGUUUAUUGUUGUACAAAACAUUAGCAGAAUUAUGGGCCUGCUCAUCGUGCAUCUUCAAUGUUUCAUUGCGCACCUUCUGCACCUUCUUUUUCUUCUUCUCUAUUGAUGCCUUUGAAAUUGGUGUAUUGAUAUUUUGUGCAUUGGUAGGACUGGUAUUUUGCUCAUCACAAGCCUCGUAAUUGUCCAGUGAAUCAACUUCGUUCCCUUUCUCCUCCUCAACCUGAUCUGCCCAGCUUUUGGAUACAUACUCGUCUUCAUCUUCUUCAUAUUUAGUCUGAAUCAUAAUCAUAUUCUCCUUCUUUAUAAACAAUCCUUUCCUUAGGCUUUUUUGUUGCUGAAGACAUCAUCGGCAGUGUUUGUUGAUGGUGUGAUAAGUGUAUUGAGUUCUCUGAUCGACCAACAAGGUCAUUAGAUGGUAUUUCAUGUUUGGAGGUAUGUUUUUAUUUUCAUUCUUCUUCUUCUUCUUCUUCUUCUUCUUCUAAACAUCCAAAAAGCGCUGAAAUGUUGCAGAAUGUUUUUCAGAAAAAUUCAGCCCCGUUUCUGCCCAAAUUCUACCCAGAUUCUACCUAAUUUCUGCCCAGAUUCUGCUAAAUUGUUGUCUAUGCCGUAUUUAUUUACUGGUGAGUGCAUUGAGAGGAUUCAAAUUCUCCAGUAUUUUAGCUCCUACUGUCGUGAGGUUACCAGAUAUUGUAGUCCAAUCCCCCGCCAUAUUUUUCUCCUCUUUGAUGCCCAAAUUAUGUGCAUUCAGUUUGGCUAUAGAUCUGUUAGCAUUCCCAGCAGAAUUAGCAUUGCCACUGAGAUGUGGUGCUCCAGUUGAUUGUACUGCUUCUUGCCCUUUUUUAUGCACCUCGCCUACUAGUUUUUUAACUAAAUCAACAAGUAGAUUUAGGAUCCCCAUCAGUAGGUCAAUCACCAGUUGCAUUUAAUGCAACAGUAGCCUCAACUUUGAACAUACAAUAGCUGCUUCAAUUUCAGAUUUCUCAUGUCCUACUAAUACAUUUGUUGCAUGAUUUGAAGAUAGCUUCACCACAAUAGCUUGAUGCAAUCCCUCCUCCUUUGCGAAUUCCAUCCGUUUCUUCAUUGAAAACUGAAUUGUUGGAAAUCCAUGUAUAACUUCAAUAGGUUUCAAGUAUUUUUGGUUCAAAGUAGCGGUUGUUUUUGCUUGGUACAGGCGUGCAACAUAUGUAUUUUGAUUGCUAUUGUUUUGGAUGCUUUCUUCAAUAGUUGGAGGGGGCUCUCCCACAGCCAAAGGCUGGGGAGAGAGAGGAGCAGCCAUGGCUGCCUUAGUUCACCAUUCUUGUCACUAGAGAGAGGAGAGAGGAGAGAGUGUAGGUGUGGGUUUAACAGGAAGCAUUAUAUAUGACUCUGGUACCUUUCUGUUUGAUAUUUUAACAUGAAGCAUUAUAUAUUUCAUUGUUUGAUGUUUCUUUUUGUUUGCAGAGAAUGUCUAAAACUAACAUUGAGAAUCGAAAAAAGUUGAAGAAUCCUCACACUGCUGGAAAAAGAAAUUUUGCUUUAGUUCGCUCUAAGUUGGAAAAAGACAAGGAAACUUCGGAUCCUUUAUCAGCAAAGAAAGUCUUUGUUUCUAUAAGGAAAAGAAAAGUUGGGCGAUCAUACAAGUCCUCAGAUGAAGAUACAACUAGUAAAAUUGCUAAAAUGGUGGAAAUUGAAGCACAACAAAACGAAAAUGGCAAUGAGUCCGUAGAGGCAUUUGCAUCUGUCAUGAGACCUGAAGAUCCGGG
This is a non-coding RNA of Nicotiana tabacum (common tobacco), 2056 nucleotides long. NCBI's taxonomy places the organism in Eukaryota, Viridiplantae, Streptophyta, Magnoliopsida, Solanales, Solanaceae. The record is from RefSeq and is a predicted model, not a curated record.